UCCUAUUACUGCAUUAAAAAAUCGUGAACCAGUGCACCGGAAACGUGACUGGUUAGCUGUUCACGUGUUUGCGCAUCCUUAAACCCUGACUUCCGUUUAGGAACCAGACGAUAUCAGGGCAUGGUUUGUUUACUAUGAAUGAACCAGUGUACAUUCCAAAUACCAGAAAUGCCCUCAAAGUCGGGCAAAAAAGAACAAAAUAACAAUUUACAUUUGUUUUUAAUAAUUAAAAACAUGUAUACUGCUUUCAUCAAUUGCAUAUUUCACUUAAUACAAAUCUUUGUCUGUCAGAUGUAUGUUUAUAGGGUUGAUACAUAUAAAAAAGAUGUGUGGUGUUUGCCAAUGAGAUGAUUUUUCAUAAAGAGACCAAAUGACACAGAAAUUAAUAACUAUUGAUCACUGUACAGCCUUCUUCAAUGAGCAAAGCCCAUACCGCAUAAGCUAUAAAAGGCCCCAAAAUGACAAAUGUAAAACAAUUUACGUGAGAAAACAAACAGCCUAAUUAAAUGUAAAAAAAUGUACUAAAAAAAAUUAACAAAUAUGUAACACACCAACAAACAAUAUUAAACCACUGAAUUACAGGCUCCUGACAGUAAAUUUCUGUUUAUACUUUUAAAUACUGUCUGAUAUGCUCUGUCCUUAUAGGUGUUGACAUGCAAUAUGCUCUUAGAUUUGCCUUUGUCUUUUAAUAUUGACUUGUUCUAUGUGAUGUGUUUUUGUUGUCGCAUUUAUUAAUUCCACAAAACCUACAAAAGAUGCUGAAUAAAAGGUAUUAUCAAAAGGCUUUUCAAGUUUUACAGAACUAUAAAUAAGUCUUUUCAAUCAAAUUUAAAUUAUUUUUUUUUUCCUCCUACCCUAUUUUUUUGUGGCUGAUAUCCGUAAACCAAGUAAAAAAACAAAAACUGGAAAGAUCUAGUUUAAAUUUAUUUUUUCCCCUCCUCCUACCCGAAGUUUUUUGGGCUGAUGUCCGUAAACCAACUUAUUAAAUAAAAACGGCCUAAGCAACUUUAAUCAAUAGUUUGAAACAAUCCAUAAAAAAUAUAGGGAAUUAUAUACAACAAUCAAUUAGAUGUAACCAAAAGUCUCUUAAUGCGUGUGGAAUGCGUAAUUUUUCCCUUUGGGAUCAAUAUUCUUCUGUCAGCUGUUCCAUCCGUGCGUCCGUAGUAA
This 1167-nucleotide long non-coding RNA is filed under the name Mytilus galloprovincialis (Mediterranean mussel). The record is from RNAcentral. Lineage: Eukaryota; Metazoa; Mollusca; Bivalvia; Mytilida; Mytilidae.